This 479-nucleotide ribosomal RNA is filed under the name uncultured bacterium. RNAcentral's name for it is "partial 16S ribosomal RNA". It matches the Rfam family "Bacterial small subunit ribosomal RNA", at positions 28 to 507 of the family's 1533-position model. The record is from RNAcentral.
GAUGAACGCUAGCGGGAGGCCUAACACAUGCAAGCCGAGCGGUAGAGUUCCUUCGGGAACUUGAGAGCGGCGUACGGGUGCGUAACACGUGUGCAACCUACCUUUAUCUGGGGGAUAGCCUUUCGAAAGGAAGAUUAAUACCCCAUAAUAUAAUGAUUGGCAUCAAUUAUUAUUGAAAACUCCGGUGGAUAGAGAUGGGCACGCGCAAGAUUAGAUAGUUGGUGAGGUAACGGCUCACCAAGUCAAUGAUCUUUAGGGGUCCUGAGAGGGAGAUCCCCCACACUGGUACUGAGACACGGACCAGACUCCUACGGGAGGCAGCAGUGAGGAAUAUUGGACAAUGGGUGAAAGCCUGAUCCAGCCAUCCCGCGUGAAGGAUGACGGUCCUAUGGAUUGUAAACUUCUUUUGUACAGGGAGAAACCUACUCUCGUGAGGGUAGCUGAAGGUACUGUACGAAUAAGCACCGGCUAACUCCGUG